Molecule: ribosomal RNA, 468 nt
Filed under: uncultured bacterium
Lineage: Bacteria
Description: partial 16S ribosomal RNA
Rfam family: Bacterial small subunit ribosomal RNA
Source: RNAcentral
GACGAACGCUGGCGGCGUGCUUAACACAUGCAAGUCGAACGGAAAGGCCCUGCUUUUGUGGGGUGCUCGAGUGGCGAACGGGUGAGUAACACGUGAGUAACCUGCCCUUGACUUUGGGAUAACUUCAGGAAACUGGGGCUAAUACCGGAUAGGAGCUCCUGCUGCAUGGUGGGGGUUGGAAAGUUUCGGCGGUUGGGGAUGGACUCGCGGCUUAUCAGCUUGUUGGUGGGGUAGUGGCUUACCAAGGCUUUGACGGGUCGCCGGCCUGUGAGGGUGACCGGCCACAUGGGGACUGAGAGACGGCCCAGACUCGUACGGGAGGCAGCGGUGGGGAAUAUUGCACAAUGGGCGGAAGCCUGAUGCAGCAACGCCGCGUGCGGGAUGACGGCCUUCGGGUUGUAAACCGCUUUCGCCUGUGACGAAGCGUGAGUGACGGUAAUGGGUAAAGAAGCACCGGCUAACUACGUG